GAUGAAGAACGCAGCGAAAUGCGAUACGUAAUGUGAAUUGCAGAUUUCAGUGAAUCAUCGAAUCUUUGAACGCACAUUGCGCCCGCUAGUAUUCUGGCGGGCAUGCCUGUUCGAGCGUCAUUUCAACCAUCAAGCCCUGUGCUUGUGUUGGAGCCCUGCGGCUGCCGCAGGCUCCCAAACCCAGUGGCGGGCUCGUCGUCGUACCGAGUGCAGUAAACAUACCACGCUCAGGGCACGCGACGGGUGACCGGCCGUAAAACCCCCCCCUUCUCAAGGUUGACCUCGGGUCAGGUAGGAAUACCCGCUGAACUUAAGCAUAUCAAUAAGCGGAGGA
RNAcentral lists this unclassified non-coding RNA (334 nucleotides) under soil metagenome. RNAcentral describes it as "partial contains 5.8S ribosomal RNA, internal transcribed spacer 2, and large subunit ribosomal RNA". The stretch from base 1 to 120 matches the Rfam family "5.8S ribosomal RNA", at positions 35 to 154 of the family's 154-position model. The record is from RNAcentral.